CCACACUGUGACCUUCUGUUACUAUUACAACAGAUGGUUCCCAGUGAGCACAAGGUGAUAUACUUCCUCUGUCCACGUGGGCCCAGGUAACCAGUCCAGACCCCACACCUUGUUCCCAUUUUAAGGAUGAGCAAACUGAGGCUCUGAAAAGCCCCACACCAGCAUGCAGCGUGGACCAAAGGCACAGGAGGCAGGAGCCAGAGCCUCUCGGCAGGUGGUGCACAGUGGGAAGAAUUCAGAGCUCUCCAUGGCCCACCUCUAUGUUUUGCCUUGUAAAUGAUGAUGACAUCUUCUCUAAAGACUUUCCCUCUUGGGAGAAUAUCGUCAAUGCUGACACUGACAUGAAUUUGUCUGAUGGUGAGGGCGGUAGGGGCACACAGCCAAGUUCCUGGAGAGCAGGGGCAGCACAGGACACAUCUCUCUACCCACAGCGCUCACCACAGAGGCUCUGCCACAUUCAUAAGGAGGGAGAGAAGAGGGGAUGGGCCAAUCCUUUGCCCAAGAUCAAGUCUUUAGGGCUCAGGUUCAUUCGGAAGUUAGGGUAAGAGGUGAACUUCAGACCAGUACUCGAUUGGAGACUAGAAAUGAGAAUAGGGUUUAAGAUUCAUAUUAAGGAAGGGAUGAUGAUUCGAGCUGUACUUCAGAUUGAUAUGGAUUCAAGUCUAGAUUCUGGUGAGAGUUCUGUUUAAGGUGGACUCUAGGGACUAGGUUAUUGUUAGCCCUAAGGCUCAAGCUAAAAUGCAUCUUAGCAUUAGGUGUGUCUGAAAAUCCUGGGGCUUGCAGCAAGGUUCAGUGCUGUGGGCUGGGGCAGAAGCUCUGCAGGUGACAGGCCUGACAGCCAGCUGGAGAGGUAGGUGUGGCCAGGCAGCCAGGGCCAGAUAGGCUCUGAGGCCAGCACCGUGGACAGCUCCAAGGGAAGCACCUUAGUAAGCCAAGAAGCCACUGAGAUGUUCCCAGCUGCCAACACUGACCCCGGGAAGACCAAGAUGGCACCAUAUCCUCCAGGGAGUUGGGGGUCUUGGCCAGACAAUCUCCUCUUUCCCUUCAAUAUUGCCAGAUGCCAUGUCACAAGAAGAGGUGCUACGGAGCAGCGACAGGCUGAAGGAAAUCAGAUACUGCCCACACUCAGCCCCAUGUCCUGCAGGUCAUAGAUAGGCAGGACUUCCAAAGCAUACCAACCCAGCCCCUCAGAAUAGGGGACAAGGUCACCAAUGUGAACUGACCACCUACUUUGUGCCAGACCUAGUCAACAUUAUCUCAUUGCAUCAUAAAACCAGCCCGAGUGUAGUAGG
RNAcentral lists this long non-coding RNA (1292 nucleotides) under Homo sapiens (human). Its description in RNAcentral is "non-protein coding lnc-THY1-3:1". The record is from RNAcentral. Lineage: Eukaryota; Metazoa; Chordata; Mammalia; Primates; Hominidae.